UGCGUAGGUGGGUAGGUAAGUCAGUGGUGAAAUCUUCAAGCUUAACUUGGAAACUGCCAUUGAUACUAUUUAUCUUGAAUACUUUGGAGGUAAGCGGAAUAUGUCAUGUAGCGGUGAAAUGCUUAGAUAUGACAUAGAACACCAAUUGCGAAGGCAGCUUACUACACAGUUAUUGACACUGAGGCACGAAAGCGUGGGGAUCAAACA
Molecule: ribosomal RNA, 207 nt
Filed under: uncultured bacterium
Lineage: Bacteria
Description: partial 16S ribosomal RNA
Rfam family: Bacterial small subunit ribosomal RNA
Source: RNAcentral